This 254-nucleotide ribosomal RNA is filed under the name uncultured bacterium. Its description in RNAcentral is "partial 16S ribosomal RNA". It matches the Rfam family "Bacterial small subunit ribosomal RNA", at positions 524 to 776 of the family's 1533-position model. The record is from RNAcentral.
UACGUAGGGUGCGAGCGUUAUCCGGAAUCAUUGGGCGUAAAGAGCUCGUAGGCGGUUCAGCAAGUCGGCUGUGAAAGUCCGAGGCUCAACCUCGGAAUUGCAGUCGAUACUGCUGUGACUCGAGUCCGGUAGAGGAGAACGGAAUUCCCGGUGUAGCGGUGAAAUGCGCAGAGAUCGGGAGGAACACCAGUAGCGAAGGCGGUUCUCUGGGCCGGCACUGACGAUGAGGAGCGAAAGAGUGGGGAGCGAACAGG